This 484-nucleotide ribosomal RNA is filed under the name uncultured bacterium. RNAcentral describes it as "partial 16S ribosomal RNA". It matches the Rfam family "Bacterial small subunit ribosomal RNA", at positions 29 to 507 of the family's 1533-position model. The record is from RNAcentral.
AUUGAACGCUGGCGGCAUGCUUUACACAUGCCAGUCGAACGGCAGCGCGGGCUUCGGCCUGGCGGCGAGUGGCGAACGGGUGAGUAAUACAUCGGAACGUGCCCAGUAGUGGGGGAUAGCUCGGCGAAAGCCGGAUUAAUACCGCAUACGACCUGAGGGUGAAAGCGGGGGAUCUUCGGACCUCGCGCUAUUGGAGCGGCCGAUGGCAGAUUAGCUAGUUGGUGGGGUAAAGGCCUACCAAGGCGACGAUCUGUAGCUGGUCUGAGGGGACGACCAGCCACACUGGGACUGAGACACGGCCCAGACUCCUACGGGAGGCAGCAGUGGGGAAUUUUGGACAAUGGGCGAAAGCCUGAUCCAGCAAUGCCGCGUGUGUGAUGAAGGCCUUCGGGUUGUAAAGCACUUUUGGCGGGAACGAAAAGGACUGUGCCAAUACCACGGUUCGAUGACGGUACCCGCAGAAUAAGCACCGGCUAACUACGUG